UCUUUUUUCUUUCUGCCUCUGUCGUCUCUCUCGCUGGCUUUUUUUUUUUUUUUUUUAAUGAAGAACCGUUCCAUGAACAUUUUGCACAGAGCACAGAAUUGCUUCUAAAGUCAGUCCGGCGCGGUUGCAAUAGACAGCAAAAAGGUAAACGUUUGCCUGAAAUCCGCACGCCAGCUCCACCACCCCGCCCGAUGGUUCUGUAACAAUCAAGAAUGUGUGGACACCUACCUGUGGGAGGAGGCUUUCAGGGACAUUGUGUCUGGUUCCUGCUGACGCCAGCAUUCUGGAGAUGGACAGCUGUUCAAGGGAAUGAAGAUUCCCCCACAGGACAAGGACUAUUGCCUCCCUGAGUAUCCUAAAAGGUCUCUUGAAACAAACCAAACACUCAGAACUUCUGUGACUGUCAUGGACAGUGUCCUGUUACUGGCUUUAAACAGAGCCCCUCAUGCAGAAGAAGCCCUGUAUCCUGGAGUUAGAUGUCAAUCAUCCUGGGAAGGCUCGUCCAAGAACGCAUGCUUAGAAGAAAACUGUUUUAGGCAUCAUCAUCUAUCACGUGGAUGUCUCUGCCCAGUCCUCCCUUUCCACAAUCACCAACAAUGAAGCCCCAACGCGGGGAGUCCCCGAGUAGCCCCCAAUGCACACACCUGCUGCACGACGUGGGAGGAGCUUUUCUGUGGGAGCCGAGGCCACACACAGGACCCUGGGGAAGAACUCCCAAAGAGACUUACUUUUACGGAAGCCUGUGAUCCUUUAAGAAUGACCAACAGUGCAAAUCAAGUCAAAAGACUUAGAUGCUCUCUCCACUACUCCAUCUCCAGCACCUAGAACAGGUAGAGUAUGUAACUGAUGACUGACUGAAUGGCCCUGGGGAGAGAUUCACAAGAUCACUAUGGGGGGGGAGGUGGGCAGAAGGGAAUGUAAGGAUAGGGAGGUGUGUGCCAAGGUGUUGCUGGCAAUGUUGUGUGCAAAAGAAGAUAAGAUCUCUUGUUGACUGUUGUAAAAAGAAGAUGAACGAAGUGUUGUGUUCAAAUGAGUCCAGUUGAGUGUACCACAGACAAUGAUUGACUUCUUCCCAGUCCCUCACGGGGUAGUAUAGUUUGAGAGGUUUACAUUAAGCUUAUCCCCUCAGAGGCCCUCAGAGGAGGCAAUGAAUAGAUUUGCAAGGAAAAACAACAACAACAACAACAACAACAACAACAACAACAAUAAUAACAACAGGGACCCCACAUGCAAUUCAGGGGAAGUACUUUGAAGCAUUUCAAGGAAGACUCUGAGAAAUGAUAAUAAAGUUUAACGGGAAGGAAUAUUAACUGAUAUGAUUUUCUUCCAAGAAGCAAUUUUGGAUAUAAUAUUUCAAGCUCUAAGUUACAAACUCAGUGACUAGACCUUGAAUGCUUUUAUUUGUGUCUUGGGGUUUCUGUUCCUUCAAUUGAAAAAGAAAAUUAUUAAGAUGAUUUUUUUUCCAGAAAGAUUAAUGGGUAUAGCAUUGGCUGACCAGUUUCCAUAAAACUAUAGUAGCAUAGAAUCACCUAGAUUAAGAACUAGGUUUAAAUCCUGGGACGGCUUAGUAAUACCAGUGCUCAAUUAAAAAUUCCGUAGCAUUGAUUUGAUGAAGAAAAACGUCAUGGUAUGACUGCAACUUUCCCUUCCAGUUGUUAUUGGACACGUUAAUGGAGGGAUGUCCUACAUAGGCUUUGGCAGUCAGAAGGCCAGUUCUCAAAUUAAAAUGAAGUUUCAAAUCCGAGCAUAGGGACAAAAUAAUUUACUUGAAGGGUAACAAAGGAGGUUCUUGCCUAAAAAUAAAUGUGAUAGAUUUGGCUUCAAUGUUAGGUGGCACUUCUUUAUAAUUUUUGUAAACCUGAAAUCUUUCAUAAUUCACACAGAUAGAAAUGCUAGCCACUUGAAGGUGAAAAAUGGUACUGUAUUUUAUUUUACAUUCUCAAUGUCUAGCACCUGUUUCUUGGUAUGUAAACAAUCUAUUUAACUGUUUUUGAAAGAGCAGACUAAAAAUAUUUUGUCAAUGUGUGUGUGUGUGUGUGUGUGUGUGUGUGUGUGUGUGUGUGUGUGGUGUAUGCAUGUGUGGUAUAUGUGUACAUAUGUGGGCAGAUGCAGAGGCCACAGGAGGACAUUGGGUGUCAUGUUCUAUCUUUUGAGACAGGACUUCUCAUUGAAUGUGGGGCUAGGCUGACAGUCAUCAAGCCCCAUUCAUUCUCUCUCUCUCUCUCUCUCUCUCUCUCUCUCUCUCUCUCUCUCUCUCUCUCUCGUGCUGAUACACACUGAACUCCUAAUCCAAAUCCAAGUUGUUAAUUUUUGACAGAGUCGCAGAAUGUGAUGUCUUGCUGUGCACACCCUUCCGAUAACGAGCCCAGCAUAAAAAGAAAGCAUGACCCUAGACGUGGAGUGAAUGGAGUGUGCAGGUUCCGACGAGUUCACUGCGGCUCCAGUGGGGAUCGGGCAGGCUCCAAGCACUAAAUAACCCUAAUGAUAUCAGGACUGGUCCUGCUUGCUCCAUCUACACACUGUUGGUUAACAGUGGACCCUCUGACUCUCAUGAGGAUGACUGGACAUGUGACAGAAGACCAGGAGUCCGGGAGGCUGCCCUUUCCUGCUUUAACUUUGUUCUGUCAGAAUUGAUAAGAUUUCGAUUUCCAGUUAAAACCCGCCAUCGGGUGUUCAGCAGGACAGUGAAAGAACGCCCGGCACACUGAACCAACAGUCAGAGGUUGAACCUACCAGCAAAGCUGGCUCUGAUGGACAAACGCUUCCUAGGGCUCCUUCCUGAUGCAGCUGCUAUCUGCAGACCUCCUGGACUGCCCUGGGAAGGGAGUGGGAGCUCCUGCCACAGAUGGGCGGAACAUCGGCAAGAAGGGUUAAAAGUGGCCAAAAAUAACAGUGCCUUCCAGAUGAGGUGACCUCAGAGCCAAGAGCAUCAUGGGCUAGUGGCCUGCCAAUCACAGGACAUCAGCAUGCGCAGAGCCCAGCAUCUUCUCCAGGUUCAGCUUUUACAUCUUCCUUUGGAGGGCCUACUCCGAUCUCAGGACCGCAGGUGAGGUGCUAUCUUUGGUAAGCAUUUUCUCCGUCUAGUCACCACUAAAAGCACUUUUCAUCUGGACCUUUAGUCUCUGAAUACCAACCAGGGUGGAAGUCACCUUUAAUCCUCACAGAGGUUGAGUUUCUUUCCUCUUAGUACAAAGCCACAUAUAUCCACUGUGGAGAAUUUAGAACACACAGAAAAGCAAAAUUAUAUUUGUGUGCACCAUGACUACCCUUUGAUGUGGGCCCUGCUCGAUAUGAUGAUUUUUAUAGACAAAACCCAGCCACACUUAGAUGGGAAAUACUUUCUUCUGAGCUGCUUGCUGGCUGGUAGAACCAGUUCCAUGGAAUGUCAGUGCCAGGCCCCAGCUGAUUGGCAUAGGGCUGGCUAUCGCCCUGGUUGGGCAUGUAUCUGCUCUUUCUUUCAGAUUCAAUCAGAUAGUGUCUGAGACUGGACCUAUAAUAUCUCACUGAGGUAGGAUUAGUCACUGUGCCUGGAAACUUAGCGCUUUGCUGGGGAAGGUGGUUUGUAGGAGAGAAUAGGGGAGACUGUGAGACACUGAGGGAAAGUCAGAGUUAAAGGAAGCAGAACACCACACACCUGGUCCCAGUGUUCUCCGUGACUUUUCUCAGGUGGCCUUGCCUCCGGAUCUUGACUCUGUCCUUGAGCAGUGUCUCUGAGAUGCCGGUACCUGCAUCUAACCAUGCCUGCCCAAGAGGAUUGCUUUUUGUAAACUCCCUUUGCAAUGAAUAAUAGACUUUCUCUGUGUAUCAUCUGAUCAUCCAGAUUAUAAUUUUCAAUAUGGUAGGUCAAGUGCUGUGGGGGGAGGGGCACUGCAGCUAAUGUGAGCAGCUUGAGCUCUGGUUUGGAAUAACACUGAGUUCACAGGCCCUUCCUCAUCUCCUUUGCUGUGUGAUUCAGUCAGCCGAUGAACACUAUUUAUCUCAGUAUUUUCAUCUGUAAAAUGGAAAAUCUCAAGAAAUCUUAGAGUUCCUAGACUUAAACUUGCAGUAUAGCAGAGGGUGACCUUACAUUCCUGACUCUCUUGCCCUCAUGUCCACGACGUGCUGGGUGAUCUGACCUGGUGCUGUUGUUAACAAUCACAAACGGUUCUCUGUCAACAGUCUUCCUAGUUUUAAAACACGACAGUAAGAAUUCUUUCAGAGCUGAGCCUUUAGGCAUUGGUACUCCUUGGGCUGAGUGACCCCCACCCUGAAACACUGGACCAGAGAUCAUGAGCAUGAAAAAUGCCUAAGUGUGGUUCCCGCAUCACUGCUGCCUGUGGAGUGUCUGCUACCCAAGUCUCUGCCAUCCUUAUCCCUGCCCUUUCUGUGGCUUUGGAGAAAGUGCAUUUCCUUCCAUGUCUGCGGUGUGAUCUAUACUCAACUUCCAACGAAACAAAGACUGUCACAUCUGACCUCCGGAGCUCUUUCAGUUCCUCUUUUCCAGAUUCUAAUUAACUUAAAGGAGUGGAGACUAAAGAAAAAAUUCAAUGUGGUCUUAAGGAAAGCUAAGACACAAACUUGUAUUUGAGCACUGCUUCUAUGUACACAGACCAUGAUUUUGUGAGUUACUUGAAUUUUUUGAGGUUCCUUUUAAUCCUCUACUAUUGAAUGAAUAGUGAACUCCAAGCAUUACACUGUACCUGAUGCUCCUGGUUGCACACUAAGGGCUGAAUAGAAGAAGAAUUCUAUUGGCAAUGGAGAGAAGCUGGAAGGGCUUGCACUAAGGAAGAAUUCACAGCUCUCACUAGCAAGAAGUCCAGGAUGAAAAACUUAGAAAUUAUCCCUGUUCUACCUAAAAAGCAGACAUGAGAAUGCUCAAAGCAUCAGCACUAUAGCAGAACUCACCAUAGGAGUUUCUGCUGCCGGAAACAUAUCUAUGUUAUCUGACCUAGACAGACUGAUCUUGUCGUGAGAGAGUGAGGAGAACUAGCAGAUGAAAUGACCAAAGUAUCCCACUCAUCCCCAGAGAACUGUGACUUCAGGAAAUGACUGGAAACCAAAGGUAUGCAAAUACUGCUUUACUUACACAUGUUUCAAAGGUAAAUGUUGGAAACAGAUGAGACACCUGAUAGCCCACUUAAUUAGAUUGGGAACUUAUUGAGGCAGAAUUUAAGAGCUGUUUACAAUGGGAUCUUUUUGACAUUGUGUAGUGGAAGAGGAUUGAGCUAUAGGACAUGGGUUGAGAAGGAAACAGUGGGUAGGGUAGGAAUAGAAACAUUUAGUUUGUUCAUGGUUCAUAAGGGUGUCUUGUCUACUCACUUCUUGCUUUCUAGGGUGAGUGAGUAGCUAGGGAGAGAUGAUGUAUGCCAGGCUUUUAAAGCUGUAGGUGCUCAUGGACUCAAGGGCUCUUGUUAGACUUCUGAUUCAGUAUUUCUGGGCUGGGCCCUGCAUUUCUAAGAGGUUCUUUGAUGCUGUUCUUGUUCCUUGCAUCACACAUUGACUUCAGCCUAUGGGUUAAAAACUAGCAUUAUAAUUAGUUUCUGAAUCAGUAAAUGUGGUGGUUUGAAUGUGCUUGGCCCAGGGAGGAGUGACACUAUUGGGAGGUGUGGCCUUGUUGGAGUAGCUGUGGCCUUGUUGGAGGAAGGGUAUCACUGAGGGGGUGGGUUUUAAGGCCCUCCUCUUAGCUGACUCAGUCUCCAGACUGAGCACAUUUCUCCAUCUCUAGUUGCCUCUGACGUCUGUGGGAAUUUUUCCUCUCUGGGUUGCACAAUCCCAUUGUGAAGUGCACCACUUUCUGUUUGUGCCUCGCUAUGGCAAUAAUUUCCUAUCCAUGUUUUGGAUUGUCCAGAGAAACAAAUUUAGACUACACAUGGACAUUGACUCCUGUUUGCAGGCCACUUCAUCCAUUUGGCCUGGGAAUGCAACACUCUAUGAAGCUUGUCUCAUCUGAGCCUUUCUUUGCUAGAGUAUUUUGUUUGUUUUGCUUUGUUUUCUAUAAUGAAUUUCUUGGAGGAGGAAAUACAACUGAUCUUUUGUUUAUUUAUCUUUUAAAAAGUUGGCCUUUUAAAAAGAUGAGGACUUCUACAGAAAAGUGUCCCAGAUGCUUGGACACGGUGGCACACUCUUCUAUUGCUAGUGCUCUGGAGGAGUACCACAGCAGUUCCUAGCACUUAGUAGGUACUGAAUCAAGGAACCCUGUCUCUAAACAAACAAAUAGCAAAGGAAAAGGUGAAUCAGAAGAAAAGCUAUAACUCAUACUGGCAAAUGAUUUAGAUAUCUGACAGAAGACAUAGAUGGAAGGACAAUGUACCACAGCCACCAAAACCAAGGAGGGUAAGAUCCCUGAUCCUUAAAGGGAAGGCUUUAAUGGAGGCAUACCAUUUAAAACUCAGUGCUCUGAAGUUUCUCACUCUCUGCACUUUUUCUUCUUCUGGGUCUCUGGAUUUGUUCUCAAGAAGCUUCUGCAAGAACCACCUUCUCUGAUGUGGGCUGAGUGAGGUAUUGGUCUACAGGUAUAACAAAAUGUCAUUAACAGCCAUUUAAUUAUUAUAUUCUUUAGCAGCAUUAUAGGGAUUAGGCUUUUCUCUAGACCCAGGACCUAUUUAACCUCAAGUUCUUGACCUCCCAAUCAGUAUAAGAUAUGGGUUCCAUAUGAUGGAGAGGGCCUUAAAUCCAAUCAUAAAUUCAUUGGAUACUUCUGCAAUGUUUGUGCCACUAAUGCACUAGCUUGUCUAGAGCCAGGUCAGUGUCGUAGGCUGCAGGUUGUUUCACCUGGGAGAUAUUGACAAUUUAUCUUUCUCUUCUGGGAGAAUGCAGAGUAUCUUUCACUACUAUGAAUGCUAGUCAGUAGGGAUGAAGCUUCUAGUUAGGUACCCACUCAACUUCUCUGAUAACAACACACUUUUAAGGUAAUACUUGUUAUUAAGCAAUAAAUGGCCUAUUAGCAAACUGAACCCAUUCAUAUAUGUAAAAUGCAAGCAUGUUAUAGGACCACUAGAUACGAUUUAUCACUAGUAUACAAGAGUAAAUUCUAACCAUUACUAGGAUACAACGGUUAGUAUAUCCUAACCAUUACAGCUGUAUAUAUACAAAUUAGCUAAUCAUAACAUGCAUAAAUAAUGGGCAGAUUUGAUUGGUUGUAAUUUAGGUGAUGGUGGCUAGUGGGUGUCAAAACUCAGGAUUCUGGCAGCUUGUAUAUUUCAGUGGUUGGAAGGAAUCAAGGGUAGACAUGGGGGUGGGGAUGGAGUAAUCUAACCUUAGAACAAGACUGUGGAUCUUUGUGCUUAUUGAUUUAUUUCCUGGUUUUUAAAGAAUGUUUCCAUUUUGAAAAUACUUUGAGGAAUUCAUAUAAUGUAUUUUUAAAAUAUUUAUCCUCUACUUCUUCUAACACCUACUCUUGCCUCCCUAUCCACAAUGAACACACACACACACACACACACACACACACACACACACACAUACACACACACAGAGUUCAAUAUCUGUUGUCCAUAUAUUUUUUCAUGGAUGUCCAUCCAUUGGAACAUCAUCCAUCUACCAGGACUGUAUCUUUAAAUAAAAACUACUUUCCCUCUUCCAGGAGCUAUCAGUUCCCAACAGCUCCUCAACUAGGGAUGAAACACAGUGUGCCCAACUCCCCUCUUCAUGCUGAGAUUUUGUUUCCUGGCUUGAGAUUUCAAAGGCCAUGUGCAUGCUAACUAAUGGUUGAGAAGCAUUCCUUUAAGUUGUUCGCCAUGAUACUUUUUCACUUUGUAGGAUACACUCGAGAGAGGAGUGGUAAAUAAGAAGCACUGACAGGAAUUUCACUAGGUGUCAUGAGGACAGGGCAACUUAGAGUUUCAAUGGACCUGGUGUUAAUAUAGGGCCACACAUUUGUACAUUCAUCAUUAGCAUGCAGUUUACUCUAUGCUUGGUCAAAGAGCAGAAAACAAUAUAUUUAAAGGGAACUUUGUAAGCUUCCUUAGAGAAUAUGAUUGUUUAAGUUGGUUACAAAUAGUCACUUCAAAUGCUGACGGAUUUCACCCAUGGCACAAGACCUCCUGGCAAUGUUAGGCCCCCUCCUGAGCCUAUAACUGCAGUCAUUGUUUUUUGUAGGUCGUUAGAAUGCUUUUGCUGCUGGUAAUUCCAGAGGCACACAUACAAAUGCUGGGAAGAUAUCUGUGACCCCUGAUUUUCUCAGCUGUCCUCGCUGGACACUUAUCUGCAGGGUGCACCAUCUCUGAGUGAAAAAUCUUCUAUCCUCACCAAGAGGAGAUAUUUUCUUUCCUACUCAGUAUAGCUCUAUUUGAGUCCCUGGGACUCCUAUGGGACUCUAAUGAUGUCAGAGCAGGGAGGAGCUUUCCGGCUAGGUUUUUGUCACAGGCAGCCUUUAACCCUAUUCUGAAGAUUCUUUCUGCUUCAUCUGUGUCUGGCAUAGUCCGAGAGUUAAUUUAAAGGAUUUCCCUUUGGUUUACCUUGAGAAAGUGGACUCUCUAGUCCACUUCUGGAGCCUUGAAAACCUGACACCUUUCCUCUAAUGAGGAGAAUCAUCUUUGACUACAGGAGAGCAACAGUGUAGAGCUCUGUCUAAAAGAUUCUGCUAAGGAAAUUUAAACAAAGCAAAUCAUGGACACCUCAGCUGCAGGACCCUGUUACUUAGGUUGGGAUGAUGGCUAUUAGGUCAGUGACUGUAAGUCUAUCCUAUAAACACAGAUUAUAAGAUUUAAACAGGGGCUUUGCCUCACACAACAAUGAUGUCAGCAGCCAAUGGUAGGAGCUGCCCUGCCAUUUCUGUUUUAUCAUUUAAAGAGACAGUAUCCAGACUUCUAGUCUACAUCUAUCACAUAGACAUAUUGAUUUCCUUUCUAGAGAAACACAUAUUUCUUCCCUCAUGCUGAAAAGAUAAAUCUGACAGAUUUAAUCAAAUGUAGUUGUUCACAACUAUAGAAAUGUGUAUAGUACCUCAUGCGAAAACAAAUCACAGUAGCUUCUAAAGGAAGAAUUCUGUGCACUGUAUUACUUAUAGACAAAAAUUGUACUACCACACAUGUCUGGAAAUAUGUGUACAAACAUACACACAGAGGCAGUGAUAAGAGCUAAGUGUAAUGUUAAUUUGAGGUACUAUGUUUAAAAUGCCAUCAUCAACAAAUGUUGGUUUAAUUAACAUUUCUACUGAAACUGGGCUCUUGGGCUCAGUUGGUCCUGUGCUUGCCAAACAUGCAUGGAUCCCUAGUUCAAUCCCCAGUACACAUAAAGCCAGUGUACUUGUACAUGCCGACAAUUGCAAUACUCAUAAGGUGGGAGCCAGAGACUAUAAGUUCAAAGUCAUCCUCAAUUAAUCAUUGAAUCAAAGCCUGGGAUAGAGGAGACACUCUCUAAAUCAAAGUAAAACAACUACCAUCACAAAACAAAACAAAAUUAUUAAAAACCACAACCUCAAAUUAUUUUCAACUUCUUUAUGAAUCUGAGACUCCGCAAUGUGUAAUGGUCCUAGAGGAUGAAUGUUUUCCCAAGAUGCAACCUGACUUUCAGGCAAACAUUAUAAAAAUGUGACUUGGGAUCCUGAAGUGUCUCCAUGCCUCUUGUCCAUCCAGCUCCUCUCCACAUUGGGUUUAGUCCUUGACUGUGAUUUGAACAAAUACGAUGCAGAGCAAUUUCAUUAUUUCCCUUAGCAACUCUGAGUGGCUCUUAUAGUUUUCAACACAUUUGACGAGAGCUAAGACCUUUUUCUUCAGAAUGUAGAUGGACAUUUAAGCUGAUGACAUUAAGAUGAUAUUCAAGAGUCUGUGGGACAGAGACUCAACAUAAAAAGGUUUUGGCGCUUUUUAUCUCUUUCAUUGAUUAGUUUGGUUCCCAUCAUUUUAGGCAGAGUUGGUCUUAAAUGGUAAUUUUCAAUAUCUGAGUCUUCUUUCCUAUGAAGUAUAGAUAUGAUUGCAUAUUCAGUAGAAUUUCCCAUUUUGGAUGCCUCAUUUUUGUAUCUGCUAGUAAUCUCUUGCUUUACGAUCUUGGCAUACAUCUUGUGCCAGCUCAUUUUAAAGGUAAAAUUUAAAAAAUUAAAACAAAACUGAAUCUGUAUCAUGAGUAGAAGUGUGCAAAAGCUACCCAAAGACUUUUUUAAGCAUUUUAUCAUUCAACAAGCUCCACGUUUUGCAUUUUAUUCUCCUAGUUUUGAUAUUAUAUUAAGAUAAGUGAUUUAAGAAGAACUAUUUAUUAGAAAGGAACAUGUUACAGAAAAAUAAUGCAUAUAUAGUGGCUUAUUGUGUGGGAAGAGUUAUAAUUGGUUUCAUUGGACAAAACCGGAAAACAAUUUCUCUUUUAAGAUGGGAGGUUUAGAAAUCUAACCACAGUAUGUUGACAUUGCAACACACACACACACACACACACACACACACACAUGUAUGUGCAAUAAUUAUGUCUUAUAAGCCAAUUAAAUUGUAAGAAAUUACUGAGGAUCCACCAAUCACUUUGGCUGGAAAUUGAGCAUAGGAACUCAGUACUUUUCUUCUGUUCCAUCUAGACAAGGUCCUUCUGAGAAGUACAGAGAACAGAAAGUGUGGAUGCAGCAUGGUUGAUCAGGAGGUGCCUUGCCAGAAUAGUUUUGUUCUUGUUGCUUGAUUAGGAGAGGCCGACGUUUAAAUUUUAAGAGAAAUAGAUGACAAGAUUAAGAUAAAAGUAAGUAUGCAAAAUGGAUGGACUCAUUCUUUUAGAUAAUAUGAUGUCUUCUUUAACCCCCAGUCAUAAACUCGGUAACUAAACAUUUGUCUCAAUUUCUGCCUGACUGGUAGAGUUUGAAAUUUUAGCCCCAAAUAAAAGGCCUUUCUGACCCAGAGAAUAUGUGAUUCUUUCCUAAAAGAAUGUUUGUGAUUCUCCAAACCAUGGCUGCAAGAUAAUGUGAAGAGGAGGCACAAAAUAGGGCUUAGAGGAUGAUUUAAACAAACUGCUCAGACAGUAAAUUAGCCCUUCCCCGCCCUGUGUGGAGUUCUCCAAGACAGAUGUAACCCAGAGUUGGGUUCUGAAACACUAAGUUUGCAUGCUUAGUAAGGUUCCUUCCUUCCUUCCUUUUUUCCUUUCUUCCUUCCUUCCUUCUUCCUUCCUUCUUUCCUUCCUUCCUCAUUUUUUGUUUACAAAAGAAGCAAUUCAUUUGUAGGGCAUUUCAAGCUGGCAAAUGGCCAACAAUAAUUUGUAUCACAGCCAGGUGCAAAAGGUAUUGAGAAACACACGGUACAAGAAUAUUCUGAAAAGAGGAAAACAAAAUGGAAAGUUAUUCAUCUUUCUAUAUGGCCUUUUUAAAAGCUACUUACAAUUUCAUGCUGUUUACAGGCAUUUUUGUCAAGUUUCUUUGUUGAGAAGGCAGAAGAGUGAGGCUUUCGUGAGAGAUUCACAAAGGGACUGAAGGGAUUCCGAGUGACAGUAGAGUUUAGCCGGUUGUUUGCAAGACUUGCUAACUAGGAGAGGGGAAGGCUGAUCUCCUUUGCUUCUCCAGAGAGGACAUUUCAAGAACCUUACUGAUGAUGAAAGCUGCCUCUGGUGUCAAAUAGUUUUUCCCCCUUUCUUCUUCAUUUUUCUCCUUCUUGACUGACCUACAAGAUGCCUCAUCUGAGUGAUUGGUGUUCUGGGACGAGGGAAGAGGCUGGCCACCCCGGUGCUUCCUUGGCAUGCUGGUUAAUGUUAUGAGGAAAGAAGAAUUCUCAAUUCUAGAAUAGCCACACAGAGUCCUUAACUGAUGGCAACAAGAUCAUGGCCCAGAAGAAUGUUCAUGAAUAGAGCAAACAGAAGGGCAUAGAGCAGAACAAUGGCACUGGGAGUCAGGAAGGUCAACUGAGAUGCAAAACGAGUGGAGAAGGCAUAGAGGGAGCUUCCCUUGGGUGGUCUAACCAGGACGAAGACCUCAUUAGGCACUCCCUGAUACAGGUUGGCUGAAGCACCCACAUGGGGUAUUGAUCUACUUCUGAGAAGGCUGUCAAGAAAAACAAACAGGAGGCUGCCACGGUGCCAAUUUGAGGGCAGAGGCUUCCUAGUCUCUCUAAUGCCAGGGAAAAACAAACUCUCCACCAUCCGUUAGUCGUUGGCACUUUAAAGUAUUCCAACUAAUCUAAUUUAUAGAAUGACGUCUUUGGUGUUGUGGUCAUUAAAAAUACAUGCGGCCUCUUUCUUUCUUUGGAUCCGUUCUCAGAUUGUUUCAGAUGAACAGCUAAGCACAGUCCUUUCCUCCUGGGACUUGAAAAGAUGGCGGAAAUGUUGUUAUGUGCAUAAACAGCACAGAAUGCAGUAAGGAAUAAGAAGAGAGAUUUGCAUGGUGGGUGUGGAACUACAUGUGAAGCUCAGAGAGAGCACAGGCAGGAAAGAGUAGGGAAGUAGUAGUUCUUGGAUAUACAACUCACAGGGAAGAACCACGGUAGACAGGAGGGCCAGGGCCAGGCAGGCAGGAGAGAGUAGUACAGUAGCCAGUAGCGUAAGUGGGAUGCAAGGGUUUGCGUUGAAGCCCAGGGCAGCUGUCGAAGCUCGAAGCCUGCUCUUCGAAGUCAAGGAAGAGAUAACAACUGAAGUACUGGGCGGUUCUAUAGUCGCAAUUAGCUUCGUGUGCCAACUCUCCAUGUGCACUUCAACCCUUUCUAUUUUCAAAUCAUCAUUUAGUUUUUGAAGUCAGUUAGAAAUUAGUUUUAAUGUUAGUGUUUCUAUAAGUAAGAAAAAUGGUGGUAAUGAUUUCAUGUGUGUGUGUGUGUGUGUGUGUGUGUGUGUGUUUUGCAGGCAUAUGUGUGUUCGUGUGUGUGCAGGUAUACAUGUGUGCAGAAGCAUGUCUAAGUGUGUGUAUAUGCAGGCCUGAGGUUUUGUUCUUCAGGAGAUAUCCACCCUACUUUUUGAGACAGCCUCUCACUGUGGCUUACCAGUGAGACCGUACUGAUUCGCCAGUGCAACUCGGGAGUUCCCCAUCUUUGCCUUCCCAGUGCUGAGAUUGCAGCCAUUGUGCCCAGCUUUUCACAAGGGCAGUGAAGAGUCACCUCAGAUCCUUAUGCCUGUGAAGCCGACACCUUCCAUUUCUUCUACCUGGUUGGCAGACAUGACGAAGGCUGGAAUGGGAUCUAUGGAGUGGCCACCAGUGGCCAGGUGGGUGACUAAUAAAAGCCUAGGUUUGUCAAGGAUCUGAUUGUAGAGAGCUAACCUUAAAGAACCCUGAAAAUCAGGAAGAAAUGCACCCUAUGUAAGAAGAUUAUUUAUUUAAUCCUUAGCCCUGAAAACACUCCGGCCAUACUGUCAACAUAGAGUCCAGCACUAAAGUGUGACAAGCCUCUGGUCAACUUCAGCUUGCUGGCAGUUCCAACCUCAUAAGUCUCUUCACUGAACCCUAACAUUGGCCCUAGAAUACCAGCUUCUACCUUCCACUAGAACUCCCCAGUGAGGAUCCCAUCACAGGCUUGAAAGAGUUAAUGCAGUCAGGAUACUUUCCUCCCUUCCCCCUCCAGCCUGGGAGCCCUGCACCAGCUUUGUCCAUCCUGGCAUGCAUUAGGUUCCUAGUAUGUGUUUUCUUUUCCCCUGUGUUUAUAUCUCUGUUUUCUGUAAAAAUCUCCUAAACUUUAGCCACGUCUCCCAAGAUCUUUGACAGUGUUAUAAAUUUCAUUAAGAAGAUGGAGCCUUCUAGGGCAAUUAACUCUAAAAGUGGCACAAAGCAAGAGCUGGAGAGAUAGUGGCUGGUGGUACUUAGCGCUGAGUUCUGAAAUUGAGAUAAGCCUAUCCACCCCGGGGUUGUGUUUAAUGUUCACUGCCGCUUCCACACCACUGCUACAACCUCGCGGUCACCGUGCUAACACUCCCCAAUAUCUAUUACAAUUAGUUUUUGAUUAAGAGGCCUAACAUGGCUUUUGAAGCUUUUUAUGUUGUGUCAAAUGGCCGGUGAUGGAGUGAGCCGUGCAGACACCUCCCUGUAACAAAGUGUAUUGUAAAAGGUUUCAAGUGAACUAUUUUAUCAUCCUAAUGGAAACCAGAUGACUUGGACUCUCCCCUUAAUUUCAACUAUUUACUGAAGAGUCCUUGUUUUGAAUUACGGAAAGAUUUAUUCUGAAAUAACGACCUCAUGCAUUAAGAAUCGCUAAUAACAGCCAUUGGAAAUUUGGGAAAGCUUUUAAAGAUAGCCCAAGAGGUUUUUUUCACAGAGGGUUUAUCCUCGUUUAUUCUCUCCAAUGGUUUUUAAGAGAGCACAUGCCUUUGCCCUUUUCUGGUAUUUAAUUAUUAUUCUAAUUAUUGUUUAUAAGGAUUUUCUUUGUCUAACCCCAGCUUUUCCUGCCAGGGUUUCUUUCCAUACUCUUGGUCUCUUACCUAAGAGAAAGGUCAUGGGUGUUUUGUCAAGAAAGAGAAACUUGGCUUAGUUGUGUAAUGUAUAAUCCCACGUGCACUGAAAAUGCAGGCGUACUUUCAUAAAGGUUCAGAUGAAACAGAGAAAACUGACCAAAACAAAUUCCGCUACACCUGGAGAUGUCUCUGCAAGAAGAGCACUUGUCAUGCAAGCAUGAAGUACCAAGUUCAGUGCCCUAGAAUCCCCAAGUAUGAAAGAUGGGUGCUAAGGUGCAUGGCUGUAAUCAAAACACUGGGAAGAGAGAGACUAGAUCCCUUGGGCUUGCUGGCCCAUCUGGCUUUAGCUAAAUUGGUGUGCUCUAGACUGUGCGAAAGACUUGUCACUCUCAAUUAGCUAGAAAGUGAUUGAGGAAGACACAUGAUUUCAACUUCUGGCCCCUACACACACAUUGCAUAUACAUAUACAAACACAUACAGGUACAUGUUUGUGAACCAUAGGAGAUAUUUGUGAAUAGAACAAAGAUGACUUGUAAGUGGCAUAUAACUCACUUGUGGGGUAGAUAAGAUAACUUUUUAAAAUAUAAUUUCAGUGGGUAAGUAAUUGUGUCCACUCAGGGGCUACAGUGUAGUGUCUCAGUCUACCUAGCAAACGCUCUCUAAUCAUUGGAUCACUGCAUCAACACCCUGGGCACUUACCAUUUCUUUGUGUAAGAACACUCAAAAUCUUUUCUGCAAGCUAUUUUCAAUUACACAAUGGACUGUUCACCACAGUGUUCAAGCUUGGGUAUUUAUUGUCUCCCCCCAAAAGUCCCUGUGUUAAAGGUUUGGUCCCCAGAGUGGUGGUGUUAGGAAGGAGGGAUGAAUGGGAGGUUUUGGGCCUUUGGGGACAUGCUAUUCAAGGCUCUAUAGGACUAUCGACACUUCUUAUCCUUUAGCCUUCUAGCCAUAAGCUUUGUUCUGCCAUGCUCUCCUAACUAUGGCCAUCUGGCCUUCCCACUGGACACCUUAAAUCAAUGAUUCUGCCUGUUCAUGGGACAGGGCUUCCUAAAAUAUCAUUCAAACAUUCAGAAGAUGCCACCCUUCUUUAGAAGUCAGUUAUCUUGGGCAUCUCAUUCUAGUGAUGGAAAGCUGACUAAAGCCAUUAUCCUACUGAGCUAUAGAAGGCCAGAAGCCAUUUCUCCUCUUCAGGUGCACCCUGGGACCCACUGACCAACUUCUGUACAUCUCCCCUUUCUCUCCUUCCCAGUCUGUGGGACCUGUCCUCUACUCUCUACUUCCCUAAGAUUCUACACGGCUGACAUUUUAUGGUUUCUGUCUUCCAGUGCCUGCUUACUCCAUUGAGCAUAAUGCUCUCUCAAUUCAUCCAUGCUGCCACAAAUGACAGAUUCUCAUGGUUUUAGUGCUUGAAUAGUUGUGUGUGUGUGUGUGUGUGUGUGUGUGUGUGUUUGUGUGUAUAAGUAUCAUAUAUAGCAUAACAUAUAUUAAUAUAUAUUUAUAUUACUUGAUCCAACCAUCUGCCAAUGAGCACCUUUGUUAACUCCUUAUCAUACUUCUCUUGAAUAUUGAGGUAUUUCCACAGCCUGCCAUUUUCUCACAUACAUUUUGUAAUUCUCUUUCUCUGGUUUCGAUAGUGUCAUUUUCUUUGAACCUCAGUCCUCUCAUCUAUAAUCUAGGGGUUAGACUAAAAUCACAGCCAUUGAUUCUGUGAUGUCAGAGAUGUUGGUGACACUCUGCUCCUGGAGCCUAAGUAGGCAGUGUGGGUAAGAAUGCUGGCUCUUCCUGGGAUGAACUGUGUAGUCUUUGUAUGAUAACCAAUUCAGUGAGACUGAAUUCCUUGCAUGGAAAAGAAGAAUAAUAUACGUACUUCAUAGGCUUAUAGGAAUCUUCUAGUAAAAUAAAUAAAGUUAGUUAUUUAGAUCACAUGAAG
This 16171-nucleotide small RNA is filed under the name Rattus norvegicus (Norway rat). RNAcentral describes it as "uncharacterized LOC102553329". The record is from RNAcentral. Lineage: Eukaryota; Metazoa; Chordata; Mammalia; Rodentia; Muridae.